UAGGGAAUAUUGGGCAAUGGGUGAGAGCCUGAUCCAGCCAUGCCGCGUGCAGGAAGAAGGCGUUAUGCGUUGUAAACUGCUUUUGCCAGGGGAUAAAAAGACCGUGCGCGGUUAAUUGAAGGUACCUGGUGAAUAAGCCACGGCUAACUACGUGCCAGCAGCCGCGGUAAUACGUAGGUGGCAAGCGUUGUCCGGAUUUAUUGGGUUUAAAGGGUGCGUAGGUGGCCCUGUAAGUCAGUGGUGAAAUAUCUCAGCUUAACUGAGAGGGUGCCAUUGAUACUGCAGGGCUUGAGUACAGAUGAGGUAGGCGGAAUUGACGGUGUAGCGGUGAAAUGCGUAGAUAUCAAGAGGAACACCUGAGGCGAAGGCUGGUUGCUAGGCUGAUACUGACGCUGAGGCGCGAAAGCUAGGGUAGCAAACGGGAUUAGAUACCCCCGUAGUCCCUGAGCGGGCUGGCAAGGCGCAU
This 466-nucleotide ribosomal RNA is filed under the name uncultured bacterium. Its description in RNAcentral is "bacterial SSU rRNA". It matches the Rfam family "Bacterial small subunit ribosomal RNA", at positions 355 to 825 of the family's 1533-position model. The record is from RNAcentral.